RNAcentral lists this ribosomal RNA (253 nucleotides) under uncultured bacterium. RNAcentral describes it as "partial 16S ribosomal RNA". It matches the Rfam family "Bacterial small subunit ribosomal RNA", at positions 524 to 776 of the family's 1533-position model. The record is from RNAcentral.
UACAGAGGUCCCAAGCGUUGUUCGGAUUCACUGGGCGUAAAGGGUGCGUAGGCGGUCGGGUAAGUCUGAUGUGAAAUCUCACAGCUUAACUGUGAAACUGCAUUGGAUACUAUCCGGCUCGAGGAAUGGAGGGGAGACUGGAAUACUUGGUGUAGCAGUGAAAUGCGUAGAUAUCAAGUGGAACACCAGUGGCGAAGGCGGCUCACUGGACCGGAACUGACGCUGAUGCGCGAAAGCGUGGGGAGCAAACGGG